Molecule: transfer RNA, 77 nt
Filed under: Candidatus Cloacimonadota bacterium
Lineage: Bacteria; Pseudomonadati; Candidatus Cloacimonadota
Description: tRNA-Val
Rfam family: tRNA
About the family: Transfer RNA (tRNA) molecules are approximately 80 nucleotides in length. Their secondary structure includes four short double-helical elements and three loops (D, anti-codon, and T loops).
Source: RNAcentral
GGGCGGUUAGCUCAAUUGGUUAGAGCAUCUCGUUUACACCGAGGAGGUUGGGGAUUCGAGUUCCUCACCGCCUACCA